AUUGAACGCUGGCGGCAGGCCUAACACAUGCAAGUCGAGCGGAUGAAGGGAGCUUGCUCCUGGAUUCAGCGGCGGACGGGUGAGUAAUGCCUAGGAAUCUGCCUGGUAGUGGGGGAUAACGUCCGGAAACGGGCGCUAAUACCGCAUACGUCCUGAGGGGGAAAGUGGGGGUUCUUCGGACUUCACGCUAUCAGAUGAGCCUAGGUCGGAUUAGCUAGUUGGUGGGGUAAAGGCCUACCAAGGCGACGAUCCGUAACUGGUCUGAGAGGAUGAUCAGUCACACUGGAACUGAGACACGGUCCAGACUCCUACGGGAGGCAGCAGUGGGGAAUAUUGGACAAAGGGCGAAAGCCUGAUCCAGCCAUGCCGCGUGUGUGAAGAAGGUCUUCGGAUUGUAAAGCACUUUAAGUUGGGAGGAAGGGCAGUAAGUUAAUACCUUGCUGUUUUGACGUUACCAACAGAAUAAGCACCGGCUAACUUCGUG
RNAcentral lists this ribosomal RNA (484 nucleotides) under uncultured bacterium. RNAcentral's name for it is "partial 16S ribosomal RNA". It matches the Rfam family "Bacterial small subunit ribosomal RNA", at positions 30 to 507 of the family's 1533-position model. The record is from RNAcentral.